This 718-nucleotide long non-coding RNA is filed under the name Macaca nemestrina (pig-tailed macaque). RNAcentral describes it as "lncRNA (ENSMNEG00000046168.1)". Lineage: Eukaryota; Metazoa; Chordata; Mammalia; Primates; Cercopithecidae. The record is from RNAcentral.
AUUGGAUAUCAAAAGAAACUAAGGGAUAUCAAUAAAAUACAAUAUACAGGUCAUGGGAGUCUUGUUUUUGUUUGUUGUUGUUGUUGUUGUUUUUGUUUUAAAGGCUUGUUUUAUUUUAAUGGCUGAUCUAUGUAGUCACGGAGGCCAGUAUGUACAGACAAAGAGGGGAGCUUUUAUUUCUUGGUCUCUUCCUCCUUGGACAGUCUUGAUGAUCUCCUCCUUCUUGGCCUGGAGGCGCUCUUCACGGCGCUUGCGUGCUUCCUUGGUCUUAGACCUGCGGGCCUCAGCCUGGUCAAUGUGGCGAUCAAUCUUCUUAGACUCACGGUAUCUUCUAAGCAGCCGGCGCAGAAUCCUCAUUCUCCUCAUCCACGUGACCUUCUCUGGCAUUCGGGCAUUGGCUGUACCCUUCCGCUUACCUAUGCCCAUGUGCCUGCCCUUCCGGCGGGCCAAGGUAUUUUUCCGGCAUCACGCCCGGGAAUGGACCCUCACAGGCUUGCGGAUGAUCAGCCCAUCUUUGAUCAGCUUUCGGAUCUGCUGACGGGAGUUGGCAUUGGCGAUUUCAUUGGUCUCAUUGGGGUCUAACCAGACCUUCUUCUUGCCACAGCGGAGGACACUAGAGGCGAGCCUCUUCUGAAGCCUGAGCAUACUCAGGGCUGCGGCCGCAGCAGCGAAAGGAAAGAGCUCCUGUUUUUGUUUUUGAUCUUCAAAUGCUGAGCAA